GCCGGUGUGGCGGAAUGGUAUACGCAGCUGACUCAAAAUCAGCCGGGGGUAACCCCAUGAAGGUUCGAGUCCUUUCACCGGCACCA
RNAcentral lists this transfer RNA (86 nucleotides) under Salmonella enterica. RNAcentral's name for it is "tRNA-Leu". It matches the Rfam family "tRNA". From Rfam's summary of the family: Transfer RNA (tRNA) molecules are approximately 80 nucleotides in length. Their secondary structure includes four short double-helical elements and three loops (D, anti-codon, and T loops). Further hydrogen bonds mediate the characteristic L-shaped molecular structure. tRNAs have two regions of fundamental functional importance: the anti-codon, which is responsible for specific mRNA codon recognition, and the 3' end, to which the tRNAs corresponding amino acid is attached (by aminoacyl-tRNA synthetases). tRNAs cope with the degeneracy of the genetic code in two manners: having more than one tRNA (with a specific anti-codon) for a particular amino acid; and 'wobble' base-pairing, i.e. permitting non-standard base-pairing at the 3rd anti-codon position. The record is from RNAcentral. Lineage: Bacteria; Pseudomonadati; Pseudomonadota; Gammaproteobacteria; Enterobacterales; Enterobacteriaceae. RNAcentral also lists the same sequence under 47 other names.